Molecule: ribosomal RNA, 730 nt
Filed under: uncultured bacterium
Lineage: Bacteria
Description: bacterial SSU rRNA
Rfam family: Bacterial small subunit ribosomal RNA
Source: RNAcentral
AACAGGAUUAGAUACCCUGGUAGUCCACGCCGUAAACGAUGUCGACUUGGAGGUUGUGCCCUUGAGGCGUGGCUUCCGGAGCUAACGCGUUAAGUCGACCGCCUGGGGAGUACGGCCGCAAGGUUAAAACUCAAAUGAAUUGACGGGGGCCCGCACAAGCGGUGGAGCAUGUGGUUUAAUUCGAUGCAACGCGAAGAACCUUACCUACUCUUGACAUCCAGAGAACUUAGCAGAGAUGCUUUGGUGCCUUCGGGAACUCUGAGACAGGUGCUGCAUGGCUGUCGUCAGCUCGUGUUGUGAAAUGUUGGGUUAAGUCCCGCAACGAGCGCAGCCCUUAUCCUUUGUUGCCAGCGGUCCGGCCGGGAACUCAAAGGAGACUGCCAGUGAUAAACUGGAGGAAGGUGGGGAUGACGUCAAGUCAUCAUGGCCCUUACGAGUAGGGCUACACACGUGCUACAAUGGCAUAUACAAAGAGAAGCGACCUCGCGAGAGCAAGCGGACCUCAUAAAGUAUGUCGUAGUCCGGAUUGGAGUCUGCAACUCGACUCCAUGAAGUCGGAAUCGCUAGUAAUCGUGGAUCAGAAUGCCACGGUGAAUACGUUCCCGGGCCUUGUACACACCGCCCGUCACACCAUGGGAGUGGGUUGCAAAAGAAGUAGGUAGCUUAACCUUCGGGAGGGCGCUUACCACUUUGUGAUUCAUGACUGGGGUGAAGUCGUAACAAGGUAACC